GAUGAACGCUGGCGGCGUGCCUAAUACAUGCAAGUCGAGCGAACGGACGAGAAGCUUGCUUCUCUGAUGCUAGCGGCGGACGGGUGAGUAACACGUGGAUAACCUACCUAUAAGACUGGGAUAACUUCGGGAAACCGGAGCUAAUACCGGAUGAUAUUUUGAACCGCAUGGUUCAAAAGUGAAAGACGGUCUUGCUGUCACUUAUAGAUGGAUCCGCGCUGCAUUAGCUAGUUGGUAAGGUAACGGCUUACCAAGGCAACGAUGCAUAGCCGACCUGAGAGGGUGAUCGGCCACACUGGAACUGAGACACGGUCCAGACUCCUACGGGAGGCAGCAGUAGGGAAUCUUCCGCAAUGGGCGAAAGCCUGACGGAGCAACGCCGCGUGAGUGAUGAAGGUCUUCGGAUCGUAAAACUCUGUUAUUAGGGAAGAACAUAUGUGUAAGUAACUGUGCACAUCUUGACGGUACCUAAUCAGAAAGCCACGGCUAACUACGUG
Molecule: ribosomal RNA, 497 nt
Filed under: uncultured bacterium
Lineage: Bacteria
Description: partial 16S ribosomal RNA
Rfam family: Bacterial small subunit ribosomal RNA
Source: RNAcentral